Molecule: ribosomal RNA, 2279 nt
Filed under: human gut metagenome
Description: bacterial LSU rRNA
Rfam family: Bacterial large subunit ribosomal RNA
Source: RNAcentral
AGGGCGUACGGUGGAUGCCUAGGCUCUUGCAGGCGAAGAAGGACGUGAUAAGCUGCGAAAAGCCCCGGGGAGGUGCAAAUGACCUUUGAUCCGAGGAUAUCCGAAUGGGACAACCCGGCAGGCUGAAGGCCUGUCAUGCCGCGAAUGCGGCAGGCGAACGCGGGGAACUGAAACAUCUUAGUACCCGCAGGAAGAGAAAAUAACAAUGAUUCCCCAAGUAGUGGCGAGCGAACGGGGAAGAGCCCAAACCAUGCGUGUUCCGGCACGCAUGGGGUUGUAGGACCGCGACAUCGCAAGAAACAUGGUGAGUGGAAAAGGUUGGAACACCUUGCCAUAGCGGGCGAACGCCCCGUACACGAAGCCAUGCGAAGCGUAGCGGCACCCUGAGUAGCGCGGGACACGAGAAAUCCUGUGUGAAUCCGGCGGGACCAUCCGCCAAGGCUAAAUACUCGCAAGAGACCGAUAGCGAACCAGUACCGUGAGGGAAAGGUGAAAAGCACCGCGAACAGCGGAGUGAAAAAGUUCCUGAAACCGUACGCCUACAAGCGGUCGGAGCGCCUUCGUGGCGUGACGGCGUGCCUUUUGCAUAAUGAACCUACGAGUUGCCGUCGCCGGCGAGGUUAAGUGCUAUGAAGCACGGAACCGAAGCGAAAGCGAGUCCCAACGAGGCGCCGAGUCAGCGGCGGCAGACGCGAAACCGAGUGAUCUACCCUUGUCCAGGUUGAAGUCCGGGUAACACCGGAUGGAGGACCGCACCAAUAAGCGUUGAAAAGCUUCUGGAUGAGGUGAGGGUAGGAGUGAAAGGCCAAUCAAACUCGGAGAUAGCUCGUACUCCCCGAAAUGCAUUUAGGUGCAGCCUCGGGAGUUCCCCGCGUGAGGUAGAGCGACUGAUCGGAUGCGAGGGCUUCACCGCCUAUCAAGUCCGGACAAACUCCGAAUGCGCGCGGGCCAAUCCCGGGAGUGAGGGCAUGGGUGCUAAGGUCCGUGCCCGAGAGGAGAAGAAUCCAGACCGCCGGCUAAGGCCCCGAAAUAUGGGUUAAGUUAAACUAACGAAGUGCGGUCCCGGUGACAGCUAGGAUGUUGGCUUGGAAGCAGCCAUUCAUUCAAAGAGUGCGUAACAGCUCACUAGUCGAGGGACUGUGCAUGGAUAAUAAUCGGGUAUGAAACCCAUUGCCGAAGCCGCGGGACACUUUAUGUGUCGGUAGGGGAGCAUUCCAGCCGCGCCGAAGCCGUGAGGACGACUCACGGUGGAGCAUCUGGAAAAGCAAAUGUAGGUAUAAGUAACGAUAAAGAGUGUGAGAUGCACUCUCGCCGUAAGACUAAGGUUUCCCGGGCAACGUUAAUCGGCCCGGGGUCAGUCGGGACCUAAGGAUAAGCCGAAAGGCGAGGCCGAUGGCAGAAAGGGUUAAUAUUCCCUUACUACCUUUAUGGGCGAUGCGGAGACGGAGAAGUGAAACUCCCGCGCGCUGACGGAAUAGCGCGUUAAAGGGUGUAGGCGCUGAUCGCGGCAGGCAAAUCCACCGCGAGAGCCGAACCUGACAGUACACAAAGCCUUCGGGCGGCGUGACAGCGGAGGUAAGCAAGCUCCCGAGAAAAUCCGCUAAGCUCAACCAUAAAGGUACCCGUACCGCAAACGGACACACGUAGUCGGGUAGAAUAUACCAAGGCGCUUGGAAGAUUCACGGUUAAGGAACUAGGCAAAUUGACCCCGUAACUUCGGAAUAAGGGGUCCUCACGCGAGUGAGGCGCAGAGAAUAGGUCCAGGCAACUGUUUAACAAAAACACAGGGCUGUGCGAAAUCGAAAGAUGAUGUAUACAGUCUGACACCUGCCCGGUGCCGGAAGGUUAAGAGGAGAUGUCACCGCAAGGGAAGCAUCGAAUUGAAGCCCCGGUAAACGGCGGCCGUAACUAUAACGGUCCUAAGGUAGCGAAAUUCCUUGUCGGGUAAGUUCCGACCUGCACGAAUGGUGUAAUGAUCUGGACGCUGUCUCAACCGUGAGCUCAGUGAAAUUGUAGUAUCGGUGAAGAUGCCGAUUACCCGCGAUGGGACGAAAAGACCCCGUGAACCUUUACUGCAGCUUAACGUUGUGACCGGGCAGCGGAUGUGUAGGAUAGGCCGGAGGCUAUGAAGGGGGCACGCCAGUGUUCUUGGAGCCGCCGUUGAAAUACGGCCCUUCCUCUGUCUGGUUCCUAACCCGCUUGAUGCGGGGACACCGUUUGGCGGGCAGUUUGACUGGGGUGGUCGCCUCCAAAAGCGUAACGGAGGCUUCUAAAGGUGC